This 253-nucleotide ribosomal RNA is filed under the name Acidobacteriota bacterium. Its description in RNAcentral is "partial 16S ribosomal RNA". It matches the Rfam family "Bacterial small subunit ribosomal RNA", at positions 524 to 776 of the family's 1533-position model. Lineage: Bacteria; Pseudomonadati; Acidobacteriota. RNAcentral also lists the same sequence under 1 other name. The record is from RNAcentral.
UACAGGGGGCUCGAGCGUUAGUCGGAAUCACUGGGCUUAAAGGGUGCGUAGGCGGCUUGUCAAGUGUUUUGUGAAAUCCCACAGCUCAACUGUGGAACAGCAGGGCAAACUGACAAGCUUGAGGCAGGUAGGGGCCGGAAGAACAGUAGGUGGAGCGGUGAAAUGCGUAGAUAUCUACUGGAAUGCCGAUGGGGAAGCCGUCCGGCUGGGCCUGUCCUGACGCUGAGGCACGAAAGCGUGGGGAGCAAACAGG